AAGAAAGGGCCACCAGCUAUUCUAUACAGUUUACAACAAGGCAGCAAAAGACCCAUAUUUCACACACACACACACACACACACACACACACACACACACACACACACACACACACGGCAUAAGUCACCUGUGCUGCUCUCUAAACAUCCUUGUAAGGAAAUGUAGAUAUGUUAUAUUCUACUUGUACAAUCCAAUUUUUUUUAAAAAAAAUUUAACACAAGACACACAAGGGCAAAAGUAGCCUUUACAGCCAUCCCUUUGUUUUGUACUCCUUCACAUCUUUGCACCUGCAGAAUCAGCUGCCAUCAGCUCCACCUGCCUCUCCCGACUGUGUCAUUUCUUGCUUUCUCUUGAAUUUCAGAAUGGACUGCUCUUGAGACUGGCAGAGCUCUACAGUUCAAGAGGGCACUUUGACCCCUUCUGUCACCAUGGAGAACUAAUGAGGAUUUGCUGAAUUUCAACAACGGCUGCCAAAGUGUAAGGAACAGCAGCAGCGGCCACAAAAUCUGAUUGACAAUGGUUGUAGUUACAAACUCAAAGGUGCCAUGGCCCCUAAGGGUUCAAUGUGUGCCUCACCCUCAGUUCUAGGAUGUUGCCCAUCCCUGUUUCACAGAUAAUGCAGAACUUACUGGAAGCAAGCAAUCUCUCCAAACCAGGGGAACUGAGCAGAGAGCCACGUUUGCCAUCUACUUGGGUGCACAUCAGCAGCUUUAGUUAAAAUGAGCUGAAAGUU
Molecule: long non-coding RNA, 733 nt
Organism: Anolis carolinensis (green anole)
Lineage: Eukaryota; Metazoa; Chordata; Lepidosauria; Squamata; Anolidae
Exons: 2
Source: RefSeq, a predicted model, not a curated record